RNAcentral lists this ribosomal RNA (575 nucleotides) under Staphylococcus aureus. RNAcentral's name for it is "bacterial SSU rRNA". It matches the Rfam family "Bacterial small subunit ribosomal RNA", at positions 960 to 1532 of the family's 1533-position model. The record is from RNAcentral. Lineage: Bacteria; Bacillati; Bacillota; Bacilli; Caryophanales; Staphylococcaceae.
CGCGAAGAACCUUACCAAAUCUUGACAUCCUUUGACCACUCUAGAGAUAGAGUUUUCCCCUUCGGGGGACAAAGUGACAGGUGGUGCAUGGUUGUCGUCAGCUCGUGUCGUGAGAUGUUGGGUUAAGUCCCGCAACGAGCGCAACCCUUAAGCUUAGUUGCCAUCAUUAAGUUGGGCACUCUAAGUUGACUGCCGGUGACAAACCGGAGGAAGGUGGGGAUGACGUCAAAUCAUCAUGCCCCUUAUGAUUUGGGCUACACACGUGCUACAAUGGACAAUACAAAGGGCAGCUAAACCGCGAGGUCAAGCAAAUCCCAUAAAGUUGUUCUCAGUUCGGAUUGUAGUCUGCAACUCGACUACAUGAAGCUGGAAUCGCUAGUAAUCGUAGAUCAGCAUGCUACGGUGAAUACGUUCCCGGGUCUUGUACACACUGCCCGUCACACCACGAGAGUUUGUAACACCCGAAGCCGGUGGAGUAACCAUUUAUGGAGCUAGCCGUCGAAGGUGGGACAAAUGAUUGGGGUGAAGUCGUAACAAGGUAGCCGUAUCGGAAGGUGCGGCUGGAUCACCUCCUU